Mirounga angustirostris (Northern elephant seal) is the source of this 3597-nucleotide long non-coding RNA. RefSeq lists it as uncharacterized. The record is from RefSeq and is a predicted model, not a curated record. The transcript is spliced from 3 exons. NCBI's taxonomy places the organism in Eukaryota, Metazoa, Chordata, Mammalia, Carnivora, Phocidae.
GAGAAACACUCUUAAGUGGAGAAGGAACAGCAUGUUCAAAGGCUUGGGAAGGGGAAAGGAACACAGGUCAAGUAACAUGAGGACUGAAAACCAUCCACUGGAUUCAGCAAAGAGCUGAUCCCCUGUAAGCCAGUGAAGGUGGGCUCCAGGAAGACUGGAGUGCUGGAAAAGAGAGCAGGAGGUGAGGAAACAAACAGCAAAUGCACACAACUCUCCAAAACUAAAGGAUUUCUGUGAUUCACAUGGAGGAAUUUCACUCAAUGCCAAGGUCCAGGGUGUGACUCUGGGAGCAGCUGCGGGGGGAAUGCAGAGGAAACGUUUCCUGGUUGGGAGAGGCCAGGGUGUUGGAGGAGCCAGCCGUGCUGAUGCUGAAAUCGUCCAAGAUGAUGGCAGGACUGGGUGGAGAAAGUCUGUAAGCUGGUGCCAAAAUCCUCAAGGAAUGAAAGGUGGUAAGUGACGGUGAUGAAAAGGAGAAAAGGUCAGUAUCUCUAAAUAGCACAUCUCUUAGAGAAGGGAAGCAGACUGUGGAAGUUAUUUGUUUGUUUAAAUAGGAGGAUGGGAGAAGGCAGUUCUAAAAUAAGAGGAAAUGAAAGGAUGCUUACCUAUAUCCUGACUUGGAGGGCUGGGGAGUGUGAAAAGAGGUGUGAGAGCGGUUAACAAGAAGUCAACUCAGGGUGAGGGUUAUAGAUGUUAAUAGAUGGAGUUGGAGAGCAUGUUCUGGAAGGGACUGAAGAUAUAAGGGAGGUUGUUUUUCCUGUAACCCAAGUGGAAGUGUAUGAGGCAGGGAAUGGAAGGCUGGGCCAGGGGCAAGGAUAUAUAGACAUGAAGUCUGAUUGAGAAAUAGAUGCAAACAGAGCAGGAGUUGGGGGUGUGAAGAAGGGGAAAACAAAAACAAAAGGGGUCACAAAUAUGGUGACUGCAAAGGCAGUUAAAUCUAAGCUAAGAUUAGGCAAUCUGGAAGAAAUGGAUGCAUUCCUAGAGAUGUAUAAACUACCAAAACUGAACCAGGAAGAAACAGAAAACCUGAAGAGACUCAUAGCCAGCAAAGAAAUUGAAACCAUAAUCAAAAAUCUUCCAACAAACAAGAGUCCAGGGCCGAUGGCUUCCUAGAGGAAUUCUACCAAACAUUUAAAGAAGAAUUAAUACCUAUUCUUCUGAAGCUCUUUCAAAAAAUAGAAGGGGAAGGAAAACUUCCAGACUCUUUCUAUGAGGCCAGCAUUACCUUGAUCCCCAAACCAGACAAAGACCCCAACAAAAAGGAGAGUUACAGACCACUAUUUUGGAUGAACAUGGAUGCCAAAAUUCUCACCAAGAUACUGGCCAGUAGGAUCCAACCAUAUAUUAAAAGGAUUAUUCACCAUGACCAAGUGGGAUUUAUUCCUGGGCUGCAAGAGGUGGUUCCAUAUCCACCAGUCAAUGUGAUACAUCACAUUAAUAAAAGAAAGGACAAGAGCCAUAUGAUCCUCUCAAUAGAUGCAGAAAAAGCAUUUCACAAAGUACAGCACCCUUUCUUGAUCAAAACUCUUCACAGUGUAGGGAUAGAAGGUACAUACCUCAAUAUCCUAAAAACCAUCUAUGAAAAACCCACCGUAAAUAUCAUGCUCAAUGGGGAAAAACUGAGAGCUUUCCCCCUAAAGUCAGGAACACAUCAGGCAUGUCCACUCUCACCACUGUUGUUCAACAUAGUACUAGAAGUCCUAGCCUCAGCAAUCAGACAACAAAAAGAAAUCAAAGGCAUCAAAAUCAGCAAAGAUGAUGUCAAACUCUCACUCUUUGUAGAUGACAUGAUACUCUAUGUGGAGAACUCGAAAGACUCCACCCAAAAACUGCUAGAACUCAUACAGGAAUUCAUCAAAGUGGCAGGAUAUAAAAUCAAUGCACAGAAGUCAUUUGCAUUUCUAUACACUAACAACAAGGCAGAAGAAAGAGAAAUCAAGGAAUCAAUCCCAUUUACAAUUGCACCAAAAACCGUAAGAUACCUAGCAAUAAAUCUAACCAAAGAGGCAAAGAAUCUAUACUCAGAAAACUAUAGAACACUCAUGAAAAAAAUUGAGGAAGACACAAAGAAAUGGAAAAACAUCCCAUGCUCACGGAAGAACAAAUAUUGUUAAACAAAUACUGUUAAAAUGUUGAUGCUGCUUAGAGCAGUCUAUACAUUCAAUGCAAUCCCUAUUAAAUAUCAUCAACUUUAUUCAUAGAACUGGAACAAAUAAUCCUAAAAUUUGUAUGGAACCAGAAAAGAUCCUGAAUAGCCAGGGGAAUGUUGAAAAAGAAAACCAAAGCUGGUGGCAUCACAAUCCUGGGCUUCAAGCUGUAUGACAAAGCUGUAAUCAUCAAGACAGUAUUGUACUGGCACAAAAACAGACACAGAGAUCAAUGGAACAGAAUAGAGAGCCCAGAAAUGGACCCUCAACUCUAUGGUCAACUAGUCGUCGAAAGCAGGAAAGAAUGUCCAAUGGAAAAAAGACAGUCUCUUCAACAAAUGGUGUUGGGAAAAUUGGACAGCCACACAUAGAGCAAUGAAACUGGACCAUUUCCUUAUACCAUACACAAAAAUAGACUCAAAAUGGUUGAAAGACCUAAAUGUGAGACAGGAAUCCAUCAAAAUCCUAUAGGAGAACACAGGCAGCAACAUUGGCCGCAGCAACUUCUUGCUAGACAGGUCUCCAAAGGAAAGGGAAACAAAGGCAAAAAUGAACUAUUGGGACUUCAUCAAGAUAAAAAGCUUUUGCAUAGCAAAGAAAACAGUCAACAAAACCAAAAGACAACGACAGAAUGGGAGAAGAUAUUUGCAAAUGACAUAUCAGAUAAAGGGCUAGUAUCCAAAAUCUAUAAAGAACUUAUCAAACUCAACACCUAAGGAACAAAUAAUCCGAUCAAGAAAUGGGCAGAAGACAUGAACAGACAUUUCUGCAAAGAAGAUAUACAAAUGGCCAACAGACACAUGAAAAAGUGCUCAACAUCACUUGGCAUCAGGGAAAUCCAAAUCAAAACCACAAUGAGAUAUCACCUCACACCAGUCAGAAUGGCUAAAAUUAACAAGUCAGGAAAUGACAGAUAUUGGCAAGGAUGUGGAGAAAGGGGAACCCUCUUACACUGUUGGUGGGAAUGCAAGCUGGUGCAGCCACUCUGGAAAGCAGUAUGGAGGUUCCUCAAAAAGUUGAAAAUAGAGCUACCUUAAGACCCAGCAAUGCACUACAGGGUAUUUACCCCAAAGAUACAAAUGCAAUGAUCCAAAGGGGUACGUGCACCCCAAUGUUUAUAGCAGCAAUGUCCACAAUAGCCAAACUAUGGAAAGAGCCUAGAUAUCCAUCGACAGAUGAAUGGAAAAGAAGAUGUGGUGUGUACAUAGUGGAAUACUACUCAGCCAUUAAAAAAAUGAAAUCUUGCCAUUUGCAGUGACGUGGAUGGAAAUAUUGGGUAUUAUGCUAAGCAAAAUAAGUCAAUCAGAGAAAGAAAAUUAUCAUAUGAUCUCACUCCCAUGUGGAAUUUAAGAAACAAAACAGAGGAUCAUAGGGGAAGAGAGGAAAAAAUAAAACAAGACAAAACCAGAGAGGGAGGCAAACCGUAAGAGACUCUUAAUCUCAGGAAACAAAC